UAGUUAGCAAUGAUCAUAAAAAUAAUUCUUUGUUCUGACUUACUUAAUUUGAUAAUGACAAACUUCUUAUUGUAACUAUAGAAUCUGAGCUAU
RNAcentral lists this small nucleolar RNA (93 nucleotides) under Theobroma cacao (cacao). RNAcentral describes it as "Small nucleolar RNA snoR8a". It matches the Rfam family "Small nucleolar RNA snoR8a". The record is from Rfam by way of RNAcentral. Lineage: Eukaryota; Viridiplantae; Streptophyta; Magnoliopsida; Malvales; Malvaceae.